RNAcentral lists this ribosomal RNA (419 nucleotides) under uncultured bacterium. RNAcentral's name for it is "bacterial SSU rRNA". It matches the Rfam family "Bacterial small subunit ribosomal RNA", at positions 64 to 507 of the family's 1533-position model. The record is from RNAcentral.
GAACGCUCACCGGGGUUUCGGCUCUGGCGGGAGUGGCGCACGGGUGAGUAGCGCGUGGGAACCUGCCCUUUUGUGGGGGAUAACCGAGGGAAACUUCGGCUAAUACCGCAUGCGCCCCUGGGGUGACCUGGGGGGAAAGAUUGAUCGCAGAAGGAGGGGCCCGCGUCGGAUUAGGUAGUUGGUGGGGUAACGGCCUACCAAGCCGAUGAUCCGUAGCUGGUCUGAGAGGAUGAUCAGCCACACUGGGACUGAGACACGGCCCAGACUCCUACGGGAGGCAGCAGUGGGGAAUAUUGGACAAUGGGCGCAAGCCUGAUCCAGCAAUGCCGCGUGAGUGAUGAAGGCCUUCGGGUUGUAAAGCUCUUUCGGCGGGGACGAUGAUGACGGUACCCGCAGAAGAAGCCCCGGCUAACUUCGUG